Molecule: ribosomal RNA, 494 nt
Filed under: uncultured bacterium
Lineage: Bacteria
Description: partial 16S ribosomal RNA
Rfam family: Bacterial small subunit ribosomal RNA
Source: RNAcentral
GACGAACGCUGGCGGCGUGCUUAACACAUGCAAGUCGAACGGUGAAGCGCCUUCCUUUUUGGUGAGUGUGGAUGAGUGGCGAACGGGUGAGUAACACGUGAGUAACCUGCCCCCUUCUUCUGGAUAACCGCAUGAAAGUGUGGCUAAUACGGGAUAUUCUGGGUCUGUCGCAUGAUGGGUCUGGGAAAGAUAUUGUUUCGGUGGGGGAUGGGCUCGCGGCCUAUCAGCUUGUUGGUGGGGUGAUGGCCUACCAAGGCGGUGACGGGUAGCCGGCCUGAGAGGGUGGACGGGCACACUGGGACUGAGACACGGCCCAGACUCCUACGGGAGGCAGCAGUGGGGAAUAGUGCACAAUGGGCGCAAGCCUGAUGCAGCGACGCCGCGUGAGGGAUGGAGGCCUUCGGGUUGUGAACCUCUUUCGCCAGUGAAGCAGGCCUGCCUCGUUUGUGGGUGGGUUGACGGUAGCUGGAUAAGAAGCGCCGGCUAACUACGUG